GACGAACGCUGGCGGCGUGCUUAACACAUGCAAGUCGAACGGAAAGGCCCUGCUUUUGUGGGGUGCUCGAGUGGCGAACGGGUGAGUAACACGUGAGUAACCUGCCCUUGACUUUGGGAUAACUUCAGGAAACUGGGGCUAAUACCGGAUAGGAGCUCCUGCUGCAUGGUGGGGGUUGGAAAGUUUCGGCGGUUGGGAAUGGACUCGCGGCUUAUCAGCUUGUUGGUGGGGUAGUGGCUGCCCAAGGCUUUGACGGGUAGCCGGCCUGAGAGGGUGACCGGCCACCUUGGGCCUGAGAUACGGCCCAGACUCCUACGGGGGGCAGCAGUGGGGAAUAUUGCACAAUGGGCGGAAGCCUGAUGCAGCAACGCCGCGUGCGGGAUGACGGCCUUCGGGUUGUAAACCGCUUUCGCCUGUGACGCAGCGUGAGUGACGGUAAUGGGUAAAGAAGCACCGGCUAACUACGUG
Molecule: ribosomal RNA, 468 nt
Filed under: uncultured bacterium
Lineage: Bacteria
Description: partial 16S ribosomal RNA
Rfam family: Bacterial small subunit ribosomal RNA
Source: RNAcentral